Molecule: long non-coding RNA, 2517 nt
Filed under: Scleropages formosus (Asian bonytongue)
Lineage: Eukaryota; Metazoa; Chordata; Actinopteri; Osteoglossiformes; Osteoglossidae
Description: lncRNA (ENSSFOG00015026842.1)
Source: RNAcentral
CUGUCCGUCUUUUUCAGCUUUGUUUAGCUCGUCGUCAAAUUCGUCGUCUACUAUCAAUUUUCUGAGGAUUUUCAAGAAUAGCUUAUUUAGUCUGGGCAUCAAGUUUGGUAUGCAAAGGAGGAAGUGUCUGAAACAACUUGCCCUGAGCAGGGUCGUGGCGAGCCGGAGCCUAACCCGGCAACAGAGGGUGCAAGGUUGGAGCGAGAGGGGACGCACCCAGGACGGGGCGCCAGCCCGUCACAAGGCACCGCAAGCGGGACUCGAACCCCAGACCCACCAGAGAGCAGCACCCAGCCAAGCCAAGCCCACUGCACCACUGCACCCCUACUCUAAACUUAAUGAAACUGAGAAAGUCACAAAGGUGGAAGUAAAACAAGUUGGCUGUCACAAGCAGAAAUUGUGUGUGUUACUUUGUUAAACAUGAAUGCUGUUGCUGGAAAUGGUGGUCAAAUGCAAAACAGCUUUAAACAAGUGAAUAUAUGCCCAAAAUAACAAAAACUACUAGGAGAUCACCCAUCUUGGGUGUGUCCCCUCUCCCUCCAGCCUUACGCCCUGUGUUGCCUGGUUAGGCUCCCGAUGGGUGCGACCCCGCUUGGGACAAGUGGUUGUAGCCGUGUGUGUGUGUGUGUGUGUGGUGAAAUCAUGGGUUGAUAGUUAUAUAGGUGUUUCACAGUGUUUUAGUGAUAUUUGGGAAUAUGGUUUAGGGUGAUAGAUAGGUUGGGAACGCAUUAUUAUUUGAUAUUUAUCAAUCAAGCCAUGGUUUCAGGCCAACAUGGAAAGCGAUUGCAAUUGCAAUUAUCAGGUAAACAGAUAAAUAAUAUCAGGUAAACAGAUAAAAAAAUAAUAUAAAUAUUAUCAUACCAAAAACUUAACACUACUGAGUGAGCCUUGUUCAGUGAACAUUAAACAACAAUCUAUAUUUUAUCACCCAUUUAUUGGACCACACAGUUAAGAACUAGAGAUAUUAAUUCCAAUCAGGCAUACUUUACAACGAGAAAAGUGGUUACCGUGCGACCCAGAGCUUCUCUAAACAUUUGAUAAAUUUUAACAGCUUUUCCGUGGCCGUGACCAUUAAAAAAUCAGCUCUUAUUAAGUUAAUUGUCCCCUUUUUAUAAUCUGAGUGCACUGGCCUUUGCUGCUUAUUCAGUGACCUUUUCAAUUACAUGACUGCAUUGGAAUUUAUUUAUUUAUUUGCGAGUUUAUUUAUUUUUAAUUCUGCCACAUCCAGUCUGCAUCCUGGCAUCCACACUCCCCUGAAAGCCCACAAUCCACUACGAUGAAUGCGGAGGCCAAUUAAACCAUUUCACAAAGCACUCAGGCUUGACGGUGGGCCACGGCUUCCACGUGAUAAAUGCCACCUUGGGGAGAAAAUCAAGGGAUUCUUAAUUCUGCAAACUGGCCGCGGUUCUCUCCGCAAUUUCUCCUCCAAAGUGAUGAAAGCCCGCACUGGCUGUGGACCGUCUCCCUUUACUCCAACAAGUGACAGGGGCUCUGCCGGCCCCGGUUCGCGCGCACACGCACACACCAUUGGCACCGGUACGCGUGUCCUGUAAGGCAGUGUUCUGGGGUGACGCACUGGACGUGGCAUCACGAUGGUUCAAGUCCACGUUAAGCUCCCGUGCGGUUUCAUUUACUCUUAUUUAUCUGAAGCCUUUGUCUGAGGUGACUUACAGCUUUAGCAUGGUGCAAUGAAGUACUUUCAAUGAUUGACCUAUAUAGAUAGCUAGGUGACUUUUACUGGAGCUGUUCAGGGUAAAUACCUUAGUCAAGGGUACUACAAAGGAAACAGAUGUUUAAACUGGGGUCAGCAUGCUGUUAAGUUUGAGGAAGGUAGUUGUACUUCUGUACUAAAAUAGACUGCUGUGUAAACAUCAUCAUUAUUAUUAUUAUUAUUAUUAUUAUAAAUAGGGUGGGUGUUUUGACUUGACUUUUGCUUGAACUUGCAGGGCAACUCGUCCAUUGUAACCCUUCAAUUCUAACCAAACCAUUUAUCAAUCCUUUCCAUCGACGAACCGAAUACCGGGGCUCGUCUUCGCACGCAUGGGGCUGCCGCCGGCUCUCCGACACGCCUCGCCGCUUUCCAGCCCCCGGAAAACAAAGCCGCCUGAUCAUUCCGAAGGCGGCGCCUGGGACCAACGGAUUCAGAUGGGUAGACUUCUCCGGCCUUCUAAAGACUGGCAGCUUUGUGUGUGCCCUUGAGGGCUGGCUUGACAUAGAAGCAGGCAAACUGAGCACGAGGGGUAAUAGACGGGGCAUAUUGUACAGUUAAAGCUGGUGAGAGCUCUAACUAUCUUUCUAAAUGUCUGCUUUCAAAAGUACUAGACUUUGCCUACACCUGGUGCUCAAUUACUGUCCCCGAUGACUAUAAAACAUGUACUGUGUACUCUUUGGAGCUUUUUCUGGAGGGCUUUAAUGGGCUGUAUUACCGGAGAGAGGAAUUCAAUUUGAGCUGCGGCUGUCGGAGAUGAAACCCACGAUAAGAGGGAUGGGGGGAAAAUAAAGCGCUGUGUAAUUACA